CUCAAUUGAAUUGACAUGACUAUUCAUGUUCCCCCUCAUUUGAAAACUGAAACAAACAUUCAUUACUGUUCAUCAUUCUCCACACUCUCAUCCUUCCCAGUAGAGGAACGUUCCAGAGACGAGAGUGAGAGGGAGAGAGAGACAAGGUGGAGAAGACGAGAAGACUACGGGAACUCUAGCAGCCUUAUUUGUGAUAUCCUCCAAAUCCUCAAACUCAGUCGUGCCUCCAGAAAUAGAUAAGUUAAAACAAGCCUCUUCAUUAAUAUCCGCCAUUUCCGGUCAACCUGUUCAAGACUAUAUCAACCAUUAUACAACAUAAACGGUGACACCUAAAUGUAACAAGAAGAUUCAACAAAGCCCAGAAAUCCCACAAACAAUCAAAUUUCUCUUCAAUCUGUCAUAGCCAAGCAAAACCCUUAACCACAAAAGCACCAAACACAAAUUAUUGGAUUAUGAAGUGUGAUUUAAUACUACGGAGUGCUUCAGAAGUUAAAAGUAAAAACUUGAACAAAAAUAUGAAUCAAAGGAAAAAAUUUUAAUCAUGGGCAGAACCAAAAACGUGAAAAUGGAAAAUACGAAGACGAUUAAUUUCAAAUCUGAUUUCUUCCUAACCCUAAAACCCCAAAAUCACCAAACAUGAAUCCAUGGAUUUUGAACCCAAAAAUCACCAAACAUAACAACAUGGAUUUUGAAGGCAAACCCCUUAACCCGAAAAUCACCAAACAUGCUUCAAAAAAAAGGAAGAUAAUUUUAAAAAAAGAAACACACCUUGUUCUUAAUCCUUGAUCUGUGCAAGCGAACAGAAAUGGAAGACGAAAGAAAACUCGAAAUUUCUGCGAUCUCGUCAACGAAUUCAAAUCACCGACGAAUUGGGGUUUGUUAUCCUUCACCACUUAACCAGAACGAAGAGGAAGAAAAUUAGGGCUGAUGGUUGAGAUCCUCCUAUCUCAAUCGGAUGAAGAUGAGUCCAGGGGUUCAAGAUUUGGGGAAGAGUAAGAGGUUGAAGACGAAUGCUUUGCAAUUCUCAAGGUGAUACACAAAGAUGGUAAAAACUUAUGUUAACCACAACAAACUUUUGAAGAAUUGCUAAAAAGUUCUUCCC
RNAcentral lists this long non-coding RNA (1102 nucleotides) under Lotus japonicus. RNAcentral describes it as "long non-coding RNA (LJAP_LNC001621)". Lineage: Eukaryota; Viridiplantae; Streptophyta; Magnoliopsida; Fabales; Fabaceae. The record is from RNAcentral.